CACUAAUAAAUACACCUCUCCCACAUCUUUCUUCCUGUUUAAGCCCCAGAGCUUGUAAGGUGAACCCACUGGGGCUGGCUGAGAGAAAAACAUUUGUUCUAGGAGGAAUUGUCUAAGGAAU
Molecule: small nucleolar RNA, 121 nt
Organism: Nannospalax galili (Upper Galilee mountains blind mole rat)
Lineage: Eukaryota; Metazoa; Chordata; Mammalia; Rodentia; Spalacidae
Gene: SNORD22
Rfam family: Small nucleolar RNA SNORD22
About the family: U22 is a member of the C/D class of snoRNA which contain the C (UGAUGA) and D (CUGA) box motifs. U22 is encoded within the U22 snoRNA host gene (UHG) in mammals and has also been identified in Xenopus.
Source: Ensembl